UACGUAGGGGGCAAGCGUUGUCCGGAUUUAUUGGGCGUAAAGAGCGUGUAGGCGGCCAGGUAGGUCUGCUGUGAAAACUCGAGGCUCAACCUCGAGACGUCGGCGGAAACCAUCUGGCUAGAGUCCGGAAGAGGAGAGUGGAAUUCCUGGUGUAGCGGUGAAAUGCGCAGAUAUCAGGAAGAACACCCGUGGCGAAGGCGGCUCUCUGGGACGGUACUGACGCUGAGACGCGAAAGCGUGGGGAGCGAACAGG
Molecule: ribosomal RNA, 253 nt
Filed under: uncultured bacterium
Lineage: Bacteria
Description: partial 16S ribosomal RNA
Rfam family: Bacterial small subunit ribosomal RNA
Source: RNAcentral